This 253-nucleotide ribosomal RNA is filed under the name uncultured bacterium. RNAcentral describes it as "partial 16S ribosomal RNA". It matches the Rfam family "Bacterial small subunit ribosomal RNA", at positions 524 to 776 of the family's 1533-position model. The record is from RNAcentral.
GACGGAGGGUGCAAGCGUUGUUCGGAAUUACUGGGCGUAAAGGGCGCGUAGGCGGUCUGUUAAGUUCGGUGUGAAAGCCCCCGGCUCACCUGGGGAACUGCGCCGGAAACCGACAGACUCGAGUACCGGAGAGGAGGGUGGAAUUCCUGGUGUAGCGGUGAAAUGCGUAGAUAUCAGGAGGAACACCGGUGGCGAAGGCGGCUAUCUGGACCGGUACUGACGCUGAUACGCGAAAGCUAGGGUAGCAAACGGG